CAUAAAAAUUUCAAAAGGUGUGCCAUGGCAGCUAAUAACAAGACUACAGGUGAGGCUUAUAAUAAGGAGAAGCCUUGGAUGUGGGCAAUUUUGGCUUGCCAUUUGAGCAAGUGCCCUGAGACUGGGAGCUGGGAGUUUCUUGCUACUAAUUUCUAUGCAAAUGUCAAACUAGAGCAUGGCUUUUAUAGAGGUAAAAAAAGCACAAUCAUUCGACUUUCCCUCUACAGUGAGUUCUGAAACCAUUGGUAAACCCGUAAACAGUGGAAGUCCUUCCAAGGCCGGCCAAUUUCCUCCUGGAUACUGCUAGCCAUCACUGGACAUAAAAAACAGGCCAAAAAAAAUUCUUUUCCAGACAAUAUGUUUUGAAAAAAAAGAUGAACAUGUCGGAUUAUUUUUGUUGUGUAUUAUGUCUGUACCAAUGACUUGAUUUCAAGCUCUUGGCUUAUGGAUUCC
Molecule: unclassified non-coding RNA, 453 nt
Filed under: Hevea brasiliensis (rubber tree)
Lineage: Eukaryota; Viridiplantae; Streptophyta; Magnoliopsida; Malpighiales; Euphorbiaceae
Source: RNAcentral